UCAGGACGAACGCUGGCGGCGUGCUUAACACAUGCAAGUCGAGCGGUAAGGCCCUUCGGGGUACACGAGCGGCGAACGGGUGAGUAACACGUGGGUGAUCUGCCUCGCACUCUGGGAUAAGCCUGGGAAACUGGGUCUAAUACCGGAUAUGACCACCGGUCGCAUGGUUGGUGGUGGAAAGAUUUAUCGGUGCGAGAUGGGCCCGCGGCCUAUCAGCUUGUUGGUGGGGUAAUGGCCUACCAAGGCGACGACGGGUAGCCGGCCUGAGAGGGCGACCGGCCACACUGGGACUGAGACACGGCCCAGACUCCUACGGGAGGCAGCAGUGGGGAAUAUUGCACAAUGGGCGAAAGCCUGAUGCAGCGACGCCGCGUGAGGGAUGACGGCCUUCGGGUUGUAAACCUCUUUCGACAGGGACGAAGCGCAAGUGACGGUACCUGUAGAAGAAGCACCGGCCAACUACGUGCCAGCAGCCGCGGUAAUACGUAGGGUGCGAGCGUUGUCCGGAAUUACUGGGCGUAAAGAGCUUGUAGGCGGUUCGUCGCGUCGAUCGUGAAAACGUGCAGCUCAACUGCACGCUUGCGGUCGAUACGGGCGGACUAGAGUACUGCAGGGGAGACUGGAAUUCCUGGUGUAGCGGUGAAAUGCGCAGAUAUCAGGAGGAACACCGGUGGCGAAGGCGGGUCUCUGGGCAGUAACUGACGCUGAGAAGCGAAAGCGUGGGUAGCGAACAGGAUUAGAUACCCUGGUAGUCCACGCCGUAAACGGUGGGCGCUAGGUGUGGGUUUCCUUCCACGGGAUCCGUGCCGUAGCUAACGCAUUAAGCGCCCCGCCUGGGG
RNAcentral lists this ribosomal RNA (839 nucleotides) under Nocardia aobensis. Its description in RNAcentral is "bacterial SSU rRNA". It matches the Rfam family "Bacterial small subunit ribosomal RNA", at positions 24 to 878 of the family's 1533-position model. Lineage: Bacteria; Bacillati; Actinomycetota; Actinomycetes; Mycobacteriales; Nocardiaceae. The record is from RNAcentral.